UGCGUAACGCGUAUGCAACCUACCUUUAACAGGGGGAUAACACUGAGAAAUUGGUACUAAUACCCCAUAAUAUCAUAGAAGGCAUCUUUUAUGGUUGAAAAUUCCGAUGGUUAGAGAUGGGCAUGCGUUGUAUUAGCUAGUUGGUGGGGUAACGGCUCACCAAGGCGACGAUCGGUAGCUGGUCUGAGAGGACGACCAGCCACACUGGGACUGAGACACGGCCCAG
Molecule: ribosomal RNA, 226 nt
Filed under: uncultured bacterium
Lineage: Bacteria
Description: partial 16S ribosomal RNA
Rfam family: Bacterial small subunit ribosomal RNA
Source: RNAcentral